CCCUUAGAUGUUCUGGGCUGCACGCGCGCUACACUGAUGCGCUCAACGAGUUUAUGACCUUGCCCGGAAGGGUUGGGUAAUCUUUUCAAAACGCAUCGUGAUGGGGAUAGAUUAUUGCAAUUAUUAAUCUUCAACGAGGAAUGCCUAGUAAGCGUGAUUCAUCAAAUCGCGUUGAUUACGUCCCUGCCCUUUGUACACACCGCCCGUCGCUCCUACCGAUUGAAUGUGUUGGUGAGGAGCUCGGAUUGGCAGCAGUUGGUGGUUCGCCACCGGCUAUUGCUGAGAAGUCCUCCAAACCGCCCCAUUUAGAGGAAGGAGAAGUCGUAACA
This 329-nucleotide ribosomal RNA is filed under the name uncultured eukaryote. RNAcentral's name for it is "partial 18S ribosomal RNA". It matches the Rfam family "Eukaryotic small subunit ribosomal RNA", at positions 1470 to 1796 of the family's 1831-position model. The record is from RNAcentral.